RNAcentral lists this ribosomal RNA (380 nucleotides) under uncultured eukaryote. RNAcentral's name for it is "SSU rRNA". It matches the Rfam family "Eukaryotic small subunit ribosomal RNA", at positions 587 to 972 of the family's 1831-position model. The record is from RNAcentral.
AGCUCCAAUAGCGUAUAUUAAAGUUGUUGCGGUUAAAAAGCUCGUAGUUGGAUUUCUGUCGAGGGCGGCCGGUCCGCACUAUGUGCGUGUAUCUGGUUCGGUCUUGGCAUCCUCUUGGGAACGUUUCUGUGCUUGAUUGCAUGGGGCGGGAUUCAAGACUUUUACUUUGAGGAAAUUAGAGUGUUCACGGCAAGCUAUCGCUUUGAAUACAUUAGCAUGGAAUAAUAAUAUAGGGCGUAAGUUCUAUUUUGUUGGUUUCUAGGACAUACGCAAUGAUUAAUAGGGACAGUCGGGGGCAUUUGUAUUCAAACGACAGAGGUGAAAUUCUUGGACCGUUUGAAGACAAACUACUGCGAAAGCAUUUGCCAAGAAUGUUUUCA